Mycena olivaceomarginata is the source of this 97-nucleotide non-coding RNA. The record is from the annotation of a GenBank genome assembly. NCBI's taxonomy places the organism in Eukaryota, Fungi, Basidiomycota, Agaricomycetes, Agaricales, Mycenaceae.
ACACCGAUGGUGAAGCGGUUAUCAUGCUUGCCUUCCAUUGCGCCGUCCCUAUUUCUAAUGUAAGCAAGCGGCAGGGGUUCGACUCCCCUUCGGUGUA